Long non-coding RNA from Homo sapiens (human), 394 nucleotides. RefSeq lists it as uncharacterized. NCBI's taxonomy places the organism in Eukaryota, Metazoa, Chordata, Mammalia, Primates, Hominidae. The record is from RefSeq and is a predicted model, not a curated record. The transcript is spliced from 2 exons.
AAGCGAUUCUCCUGCCUCAGCCUCCCAAGUAGCUGGGACUACAGAUUCAUUCUCAUAGAAGGGCAUCAGAGGAAGAUAAAGAAGGAUCCUCAAUGUCAGACAUCUGAGCCCAAGCUAAGCCAUCAUAAUCCCUGUGACGUGCACAUAUACAUGCCCCACUCCAACUAAUCAAUCGACCUUGUGACAUUCCUCCCCUGGACAAUGAAUCUCAUGAUCUCCCAACCCUGCACCUUGUGACCCCUCCCCUGCCCACAAGAGAUAACCACCUUUAAGUGUAAUUUUCCACUACCUACCCAAAUCCUAUAAAGCUGCCCCACCCCUAUCUCCCUUUGCUGACUCUUUGUGGACUCAGCCCACUUGCACCCAAGUGAAAUAAACAGCCUUGUUGCUCUCA